GAUGAAACUAGAUACAAGCGAGCGGCGGACGGGUGAGUAACACGUGGGUAACCUGCCCAAGAGACUGGGAUAACACCUGGAAACAGAUGCUAAUACCGGAUAACAACACUAGACGCAUGUCUGAGUUUAAAAGAUGGUUCUGCUAUCACUCUUGGAUGGACCUGCGGUGCAUUAGCUAGUUGGUAAGGCAACGGCUUACCAAGGCAAUGAUGCAUAGCCUAGUUGAGAGACUGAUCGGCCACAUUGGGACUGAGACACGGCCCAAACUCCUACGGGAGGCAGCAGUAGGGAAUCUUCCACAAUGGACGCAAGUCUGAUGGAGCAACGCCCCGUGAGUGAAGAAGGGUUUCGGCUCGUAAAGCUCUGUUGGUAGUGAAGAAAGAUAGAGGUAGUAACUGGCCUUUAUUUGACGGUGAUUACUUAGAAAGUCACGGCUAACUACGUGCCAGCAGCCGCGGUAAUACGUAGGUGGCAAGCGUUGUCCGGAUUUAUUGGGCGUAAAGCGAGUGCAGGCGGUUCAAUAAGUCUGAUGUGAAAGCCUUCAGCUCAACCGGAGAAUUGCAUCAGAAACUGUUGAACUUGAGUGCAGAAGAGGAGAGUGGAACUCCAUGUGUAGCGGUGGAAUGCGUAGAUAUAUGGAAGAACACCAGUGGCGAAAGCGGCUCUCUGGUCUGCAACUGACGCUGAGGCUCGAAAGCAUGGGUAGCGAACAGGAUUAGAUACCCUGGGUAGUCCAUGCCGUAAACGAUGAGUGCUAAGUGUUGGGAGGUUUCCGCCUCUCAGUGCUGCAGCUCACGCAAUAAGCACUCC
This 810-nucleotide ribosomal RNA is filed under the name Lactobacillus gasseri. RNAcentral describes it as "bacterial SSU rRNA". It matches the Rfam family "Bacterial small subunit ribosomal RNA", at positions 73 to 870 of the family's 1533-position model. The record is from RNAcentral. Lineage: Bacteria; Bacillati; Bacillota; Bacilli; Lactobacillales; Lactobacillaceae.